CACAAACGUAUUUGCAAAGUGCAACAGCCAAUCACUGGGUGGGAUUUAUGAUUACCUCAUCAAUCUGAAGCUUUAUUUAAGGGGCAGAACUUAGUCAACAACUAUCAGAUGCAACCAGUAUCUCGGAGGCUUCUCUGGAUUUUAUUCCGAUCACAAGCACCUGAAACUGAGAACAGGAUGAAGAGGCAGAUGAAAUGGCUGUGGCCUGUGGUGAUGCUUGCAAUCCUGAGCGAACUUCUCUGGACCGCUUCUGCACAAGGGGCUGACAAUGUCACAGCAAAGGCUGUUACAAAGCAAACUCAAGCCUCAGCUCAGUCACACAGCAGCGUUCUUACGCCUGCUCUCUCUCUCAUUUCGAUUGCUUCAUCUUUAUGCAUUUUCUUUGUCUCUCAACGUAAGUUUUAAAAGAGCCUGUUUAUUAGAGGAAUUGUAAAUCAAAGUCAGGAAAAAUUAAUCUGUCUCAAUCUGACAAAUCUUGUCCUUCUGAUGUGUGCGUGUUGCUUUGUUAGCAAAUCCACAACAACAACGUGUGAUUUUUAAAUUUUAAUAUUUUAAAUGAAUUUUCCCAGUGUGAUGGUAAAUGGAGACAGUAGGCUAAAUUAUUGUUAUUAAUUGUUGAAACGAAUGGAACAUCUUUAAAUAUAAUGAUGGAAAAUUGCUGCAUUAAGUAGGCUUUAUCUAGAGGAAAGCUGAUUUGACCAGAACCUGGGCUACAGAAUCAAAAGCCGCAUCGACAAAACUGAAAGAUCUGUGUCAUGGAUGGACUAUUUUGAAAAACAGUAGAAGGACUCAAUCAAGGCUUUUAUGUAGCGCGUCUUACAUUAAACGAAAUCUGAUAUUAAAAAAAAAACUGCUUACAAA
Molecule: non-coding RNA, 861 nt
Organism: Pantherophis guttatus
Lineage: Eukaryota; Metazoa; Chordata; Lepidosauria; Squamata; Colubridae
Source: RefSeq, a predicted model, not a curated record